GACUGCUGUCAUCAAGGAGUGCCAUUGCUAUGGUGGGGGGUGCCUGGUCUGGUCUAGCUUACCUGUGACAUUGAUGGGGAUGAUGCAGGAGGAGACGGCAUGAGAAUCACCAGGUGUUUUCUGAUCUGAUGGAGGGGCAUUUUCCUUUGACCAGUUUGUUUGUUUAUCCUGGGUUGAGGGGGCACUGGAGGCAGAGGCCUUGGUUCUGUGUCCUCCCAAGACUUCACCACCUUCACCCUCCCCUGUCGAGGUAGACUAGAAGAAACAGGCAACAUUACAACUAAGACAAAACAUUCCCGUGCAAUUCCAGCAGCCAGACUGACAGCAUCUGCAGACGCAAACCCUCCCCCUUCACCUCCACACCCACCAUCACCAAUCCACCACCACCACCACCACCACCCACCUGCUGUCUGUCCCUGCUCUGCCUCCCCUUCAUCUGAUCCAAUGUGUCACUGAAAGGAAAUUCUUCUUAAUGUCAACAGAGUAUGCGGUCCGCUCCACUUUGGCCUCGCUUAGAGCCGCAUCACACAGAAAUGACACAUCUACGCUUCAUCGCAAACUUAAACCCGUCUUCCCGUCUUUACGCUUCACCCCCGUCCGCCUGUGUCAGAUGGUAGGAUCCUGCCUGGGCAUGGCCUCUUCCUGACCAUAAUCUCUUCAUGAUGCAGUAAAAUGAGGAUUGGGGGGUUCCGGCACAAAGUAUUAAUGUAUUAAUCCACCACAUGCUGGGAAUAUGUAUCACGUGCUCAGUCCUUCUAUCGCUGCCAGGAGUCAUGAUCUAAGAAUGACUUUGUGUUGGUGUAAUGUGACUCAUGUUGGUCUAAAGUGGCUCAUAAUUCAGUCAAACCGAGGACAAAGUUUACAGCAGUGAGGCCGAAAUGUAAAACACCAGGAUUUCGAAAUCACUUAAAAAAGCCGAAUGCAAAUAUGUUUUCAGUGUAAUUAACAGUCCCCUCCUCAAGGAAACUUUGUUUACGCUCAUUGUGAGGACUCGACAUCCCCAUGUGGUUGCUAAAUCAACAGCAUGAAACGCGCACAAACAGAGAAAGUGUAUGAGCACCCUGCCCGGUAAUCUGCUGUAAUCUGGAGCUCUGGCAGUUCACUGACUUUGGAGUUGAGCUGUUGGAGCUGGCAGUCUGCUCGAGGAGCUUUCAGCCUCCCGCCAUGCCCGGGAAUGACACCGACACCCACACACAAACACGCACAGCACAGCAACAUCCGAACGCACAUGUGAACCCGCCACGUGUCCGCGCACGCUUUCGCCGACAAUACCAGCACAAAGACAGUCGAACCUGACUACCAGCGUUAAAUGCACAGAGGUUUUGAGUUAGCUACAGCAGAUUUCCUAAACAGGACUGCUGGGAGUUCCUUAAUAGCUUCACGUCCCUGGGGUCUUUUGUCAAGUUGUGGUAUUGAGCGAUCUAUGAAACAUCAGUGCCGGAUCACAGACCUUUCAACCGCAUAUUAACUGGUUCGUAACCUGAGCUUCUUGGAGAGGACCGUAAUGGUUUCUUCUGCCUGAGGAGCUCAGGCCACAUCAGUACAUCAGACUCUACGUCACUUAAGAUUAUUUCAGUUUGACCUCGCUUGGUUUGGUGAGUCUGAUAGUAGUGCUGAUGAUAAAUAUCCUUUGUUCUCCCUCCAAAUGUCUCUAUGUUUGCAUGUCUUUGUUUCUUCUUCCUGACAAAAUGAAUAAAUCAUUCCACCCCUG
Molecule: long non-coding RNA, 1711 nt
Organism: Mugil cephalus (flathead mullet)
Lineage: Eukaryota; Metazoa; Chordata; Actinopteri; Mugiliformes; Mugilidae
Exons: 3
Source: RefSeq, a predicted model, not a curated record